AUUAUUGGGCGUAAAGAGCUCGUAGGCGGUUUGUCGCGUCUGCCGUGAAAGUCCGGGGCUCAACUCCGGAUCUGCGGUGGGUACGGGCAGACUAGAGUGAUGUAGGGGAGACUGGAAUUCCUGGUGUAGCGGUGAAAUGCGCAGAUAUCAGGAGGAACACCGAUGGCGAAGGCAGGUCUCUGGGCAUUAACUGACGCUGAGGAGCGAAAGCAUGGGGAGCGAACAGGAUUAGAUACCCUGGUAGUCCAUGCCGUAAACGUUGGGCACUAGGUGUGGGGGACAUUCCACGUUUUCCGCGCCGUAGCUAACGCAUUAAGUGCCCCGCCUGGGGAGUACGGCCGCAAGGCUAAAACUCAAAGGAAUUGACGGGGGCCCGCACAAGCGGCGGAGCAUGCGGAUUAAUUCGAUGCAACGCGAAGAACCUUACCAAGGCUUGACAUGAACCGGAAAUACCUGGAAACAGGUGCCCCGCUUGCGGUCGGUUUACAGGUGGUGCAUGGUUGUCGUCAGCUCGUGUCGUGAGAUGUUGGGUUAAGUCCCGCAACGAGCGCAACCCUCGUUCUAUGUUGCCAGCGCGUUAUGGCGGGGACUCAUAGGAGACUGCCGGGGUCAACUCGGAGGAAGGUGGGGACGACGUCAAAUCAUCAUGCCCCUUAUGUCUUGGGCUUCACGCAUGCUACAAUGGCCGGUACAAAGGGUUGCGAUACUGUGAGGUGGAGCUAAUCCCAAAAAGCCGGUCUCAGUUCGGAUUGGGGUCUGCAACUCGACCCCAUGAAGUCGGAGUCGCUAGUAAUCGCAGAUCAGCAACGCUGCGGUGAAUACGUUCCCGGGCCUUGUACACACCGCCCGUCAAGUCACGAAAGUUGGUAACACCCGAAGCCGGUGGCCUAACCCC
Molecule: ribosomal RNA, 895 nt
Filed under: Arthrobacter sp. M1Ju4
Lineage: Bacteria; Bacillati; Actinomycetota; Actinomycetes; Micrococcales; Micrococcaceae
Description: bacterial SSU rRNA
Rfam family: Bacterial small subunit ribosomal RNA
Source: RNAcentral